UUUCUUCGAUGGUAACUCUACUCGGAUAACCGUAGUAAUUCUAGAGCUAAUACGUGCCACAAGGCGACUUUUGUCGUGGUAUAAAUUGGAGAUACAAACCAAUAUUUGGUGAUUCACGAUUUCUUUUCUGAUCGCACUAUGUGCGACGCAUCGUUCAAAUUUCUGACCUAUCAACUUUGGAUGGUAAGGUAUUGUCUUACCAUGGUUGUGACGGGUAACGGACCGUGGGUGCGGGACUCCGGAGAGGGAGCCUGAGAAACGGCUACCACAUCCAAGGAAGGCAGCAGGCGCGCAAAUUACCCAAUCCGGACACCGGGAGGUAGUGACAAGAAAUAGCAAUAGAGGGCCCGAUGGGUUUUCUAAUUGGAAUGAGAACAAGGUAAACAGCUUAUCGAGGAGCCAGCAGAGGGCAAGUCUGGUGCCAGCAGCCGCGGUAAUUCCAGCUCUGUAAGCGUAUACCAAAGUUGUUGCAGUUAAAACGCUCGUAGUCGGAACUUGGCGGGCGACGCAGGGCGUCUUUGCGGACGGAUCUGUAUCGGCCGCCUUUGUGGAGGGGGGCUUAGCGGUGCUUUAUUGCCUUGCUAAGUCGCUGCCACCGUUUACUGUGAAAAAAUUGGAGUGUUCAAAGCAGGCGUUUGCCUUGUACACAUUAGCAUGGAAUAAUAGAAUAGGACCUGGUUCUGUUUUGUUGGUUUGUGAGAAUUAGGUAAUGAUUAAGAGGGACGGUUGGGGGCAUUUGUAUUCUGCCGUCAGAGGUGAAAUUCUUAGAUUGGCGGAAGACAAACAGCUGCGAAAGCGUCUGCCAAGGACGUUUUCAUUGAUCAAGAACGAAAGUAAGGGGAUCGAAGACGAUCAGAUACCGUCGUAGUCUUUACUAUAAACGAUGAGGACUGGGGAUCGGGCGGCGCUGCUUUAUGGCCCGCCCGGCACCCUUCGGGAAACCAAAGUGUUUGCUUUCUGGGGGGAGUAUGGUCGCAAGGCUGAAACUUAAAGGAAUUGACGGAAGGGCAUCACCGGGUGUGGAGCCUGCGGCUUAAUUUGACUCAACACGGGGAAACUUACCAGGUCCGGACAUAGUGAGGAUUGACAGAUUGAGAGCUCUUUCUUGAUUCUAUGGUUGGUGGUGCAUGGCCGUUCUUAGUUGGUGGAGUGAUCUGUCUGGUUAAUUCCGUUAACGAGCGAGACCUGGGCGUGCUAGCUAGGCGCCGUUACCUCUUUCGGUAGCGAGGCUUGCCUUCCUAGACGGACUGCGGGCGUCUAGUCCGCGGAAGCUCCAGGCAAUAACAGGUCUGAGAUGCCCUUAGAUGUUCUGGGCCGCACGCGUGCUACACUGAGCGGGUCAACGGGUGAGGAUAGGCGAGAGCCUUUCCUAAUCUCUAAAUCCGCUCGUGCUGGGGAUCGAGGCUUGCA
Molecule: ribosomal RNA, 1410 nt
Filed under: Gelidium sp.
Lineage: Eukaryota; Rhodophyta; Florideophyceae; Gelidiales; Gelidiaceae
Description: SSU rRNA
Rfam family: Eukaryotic small subunit ribosomal RNA
Source: RNAcentral